Melanotaenia boesemani (Boeseman's rainbowfish) is the source of this 554-nucleotide long non-coding RNA. RefSeq lists it as uncharacterized. The record is from RefSeq and is a predicted model, not a curated record. NCBI's taxonomy places the organism in Eukaryota, Metazoa, Chordata, Actinopteri, Atheriniformes, Melanotaeniidae. The transcript is spliced from 4 exons.
AAUGUAAUCCAGGUCACUAACAAUGUUAUCCAGGUCACUAACAAUUUAAUCCAGGUCACUAGCAAUGUAAUCCAGGUCACUAACAAUGUAAUCCAGGUCACCAACAAUGUAAUCCAGGUCACUAACAAUGCAAUCCAGGUCGCUAACAAUGUAAUCCAGGUCACCAACAAUGUAAUCCAGGUCACUAACAAUGUAAUCCAGGUCACUAACAAUGUAAUCCAGGUCACUAACAAUGUAAUCCAGGUCAUCAACAAUGUAAUCCAGGUCACUAACAAUGUAAUCCAGGUUACUAACAAUGUAAUCCAGGUCACUAACAAUGUAAUCCAGGUCACUAACAAUGUAAUCCAGGUUACUAACAAUGUAAUCCAGGUCACUAACAAUGUAAUCCAGGUCACUAACAAUUUAAUCCAGGUCACUAACAAUUUAAUCCAGGUCACUAGCAAUGUAAUCCAGGUUACUAACAAUGUAAUCCAGGUCACCAACAAUGUAAUCCAGGUCACUAACAAUGUAAUCCAGGUCGCUAACAAUGUAAUCCAGGUUACUAACAAUGUAAU